Molecule: long non-coding RNA, 448 nt
Organism: Polypterus senegalus (gray bichir)
Lineage: Eukaryota; Metazoa; Chordata; Cladistia; Polypteriformes; Polypteridae
Exons: 3
Source: RefSeq, a predicted model, not a curated record
GUGAAGUCCAGCUCCCCAGCCUUUAGGUCAGACUGUAACUUGCAGAUGUAAAGCCUGCUGAAACAUGGAUUUCCUCUGUUGUUACAGAAUCGGAUCAGCUAAGAGCUCUUGACUGCAAUGGAGUGUGAAGAUGAAACAACCUCAGAAGAUCUCCGACAAUAGCGGAAGUUUAUAGUGAAAGGCUUGAAAGAGAGAGAAAGAAAACCAGGAAGAACACAGUCACCAAGAAGACCCUUGCACUGAGACGAAGCAAUGUAAGCUGAAGAGACUGAAACUCCACAGACAUUGGGUGUAUCGGCCAGCAUCGUCAAUAGCAGCUCCUGAAAUAUCCAGAAGGAAUUUCCACCUGAUGACCUCACUUCCUGGACCCGCCCCUUCUGACCUCACCUCUUUGUAUAACCUCAUCAGUUCAUUCGUGAGCUCCAUCUGUAAAGACAUAUCUGCCAAU